GGUUACUAUAGUAACGGUUACCAUAGCGACGGUUACUAUGGCAACGCUAACCAUGGUAACGGUUACCAUGACUAAUAUUAUUAUAGCAACGGU
Molecule: long non-coding RNA, 93 nt
Organism: Cotesia glomerata
Lineage: Eukaryota; Metazoa; Arthropoda; Insecta; Hymenoptera; Braconidae
Exons: 3
Source: RefSeq, a predicted model, not a curated record